AUGGGCUUUCCGAGACUAUUCGAGAAUGUACGAAUUCGAAUAUCUCGCUAAGUCUGAGA
RNAcentral lists this microRNA precursor (59 nucleotides) under Pristionchus pacificus. Its description in RNAcentral is "microRNA ppc-mir-8317a precursor". Lineage: Eukaryota; Metazoa; Nematoda; Chromadorea; Rhabditida; Neodiplogasteridae. The record is from miRBase by way of RNAcentral.